RNAcentral lists this ribosomal RNA (548 nucleotides) under uncultured bacterium. Its description in RNAcentral is "bacterial SSU rRNA". It matches the Rfam family "Bacterial small subunit ribosomal RNA", at positions 355 to 895 of the family's 1533-position model. The record is from RNAcentral.
UAGGGAAUCUUCGGCAAUGGACGGAAGUCUGACCGAGCAACGCCGCGUGAGUGAAGAAGGUUUUCGGAUCGUAAAGCUCUGUUGUAAGAGAAGAACGAGUGUGAGAGUGGAAAGUUCACACUGUGACGGUAUCUUACCAGAAAGGGACGGCUAACUACGUGCCAGCAGCCGCGGUAAUACGUAGGUCCCGAGCGUUGUCCGGAUUUAUUGGGCGUAAAGCGAGCGCAGGCGGUUAGAUAAGUCUGAAGUUAAAGGCUGUGGCCUAACCAUAGUACGCUUUGGAAACUGUUUAACUUGAGUGCAAGAGGGGAGAGUGGAAUUCCAUGUGUAGCGGUGAAAUGCGUAGAUAUAUGGAGGAACACCGGUGGCGAAAGCGGCUCUCUGGCUUGUAACUGACGCUGAGGCUCGAAAGCGUGGGGAGCAAACAGGAUUAGAUACCCUGGUAGUCCACGCCGUAACGAUGAGUGCUAGGUGUUAGACCCUUUCCGGGGUUUAGUGUCGCAGCUAACGCAUUAAGCACUCCGCCUGGGGAGUACGACCGCAAGGUU